GUCCAUACGUAAACGAUGAAUGCUAAGUGUUGGAGGUUUCCCCUUCAGUGCUGCAGCUAACGCAUUAAGCAUUCCGCUGGGGAGUACGGCCGCAAGGCUGAAACUCAAAGGAAUUGACGGGGGCCCGCACAAGCGGUGGAGCAUGUGGUUUAAUUCGAAGCUACGCGAAGAACCUUACCAGGUCUUGACAUACUAUGCAAAUCUAAGAGAUUAGACGUUCCCUUCGGGGACAUGGAUACAGGUGGUGCAUGGUUGUCGUCAGCUCGUGUCGUGAGAUGUUGGGUUAAGUCCCGCAACGAGCGCAACCCUUAUUAUCAGUUGCCAGCAUUAAGUUGGGCACUCUGGUGAGACUGCCGGUGACAAACCGGAGGAAGGUGGGGAUGACGUCAAAUCAUCAUGCCCCUUAUGACCUGGGCUACACACGUGCUACAAUGGAUGGUACAACGAGUUGCGAACUCGCGAGAGUAAGCUAAUCUCUUAAAGCCAUUCUCAGUUCGGAUUGUAGGCUGCAACUCGCCUACAUGAAGUCGGAAUCGCUAGUAAUCGCGGAUCAGCAUGCCGCGGUGAAUACGUUCCCGGGCCUUGUACACACCGCCCGUCACACCAUGAGAGUUUGUAACACCCAAAGUCGGUGGGGUAACCUUUAGGAACCAGCCGCCUAAGGUGGGACAGAUGAUUAGGGUGAAGUCGUAACAAGGUAACCA
This 704-nucleotide ribosomal RNA is filed under the name uncultured Lactobacillus sp. RNAcentral's name for it is "bacterial SSU rRNA". It matches the Rfam family "Bacterial small subunit ribosomal RNA", at positions 793 to 1502 of the family's 1533-position model. Lineage: Bacteria; Bacillati; Bacillota; Bacilli; Lactobacillales; Lactobacillaceae. The record is from RNAcentral.